GAGCAAGAUAUUAAGAGCACACGGUGGAUGCCUUGGCACUUGGAGCCGAUGAAGGACGCGGCAAGCUGCGAUAAGCCUCGGGUAGGUGCACACAACCGCUAAUCCGAGGGUGUCCGAAUGGGGAAACCCACGUGGGGUCAUGCCCACGUACCCCUGCCUGAACACAUAGGGCAGGUGGAGGCAACCGGGAGAACUGAAACAUCUCAGUACCCCGAGGAACAGAAAUCAACCGAGAUAGCCCUAGUAGUGGCGAGCGAACGGGCUACAGCCUAAACCCAUGUAUGUGUCAAGCCGACAGGCGUUGCUGCAUGAGGGGUUGUGGGAGUCACGAUCGCGCAACUGUCGAUGCGCGGCGGAGUUACAAAUUCGCGAGGUAGCAGAACGGCUUGGAACAGCCGGCCAUAGAGGGUAAAAGCCCCGUACAGCGAAACCCCUGCGAACUCCGUUAGUGACCACCCGAGUACUGCCGGACACGUGAAAUCCGGUAGGAAUCUGGGGGGACCACCCUCCAAGGCUAAAUACUCCCAAGUGACCGAUAGUGCACCAGUACCGUGAGGGAAAGGUGAAAAGCACCCCGAGAGGGGAGUGAAAUAGUACCUGAAACCGUGUGCUUACAAGCAGUCGGAGCCCGGAAAGCCACUCUUCGGAGGGGCAGGGUGACGGCGUGCCUUUUGUAGAAUGAGCCAGCGAGUUACUCGUACGUGGCAAGGUUAAGCUCAAAGCGAGCCGUAGCGAAAGCGAGUCUUUAAACGGGCGUUUGAGUCACGUGCGGUAGACGCGAAGCCAGGUGAUCUACCCAUGGGCAGGGUGAAGCGGGGGUAAGACCUCGUGGAGGCCCGAACCCACUUCGGUUGAAAACGGAGGGGAUGACCUGUGGGUCGGAGUGAAAGGCUAAUCAAACCUGGAGAUAUCUCGUUCUCCCCGAAAUAGCUUUAGGGCUAGCGUCGAUCGUUCAGUACCGGUGGUAGAGCACUGGAUGGCCUAGGGGGCUUCACCGCUUACCGAAGUCAACCAAACUCCGAAUGCCGGCACUCUAGAGAUCGGCAGUCAGACUGUGUGGGCUAAGCCGCAUAGUCGAAAGGGAAACAGCCCAGACCGCCAGCUAAGGUCCCCAAGUUAUAGCUAAGUGGCAAAGGAUGUGCGUUUGCUCAGACAACCAGUAUGUUGGCUUAGAAGCAGCCAUCAUUUAAAGAGUGCGUAAUAGCUCACUGGUCAAGUGGACAUGCGCCGACAAUACACGGGGCUCAAGCUAUACACCGAAGCUGCGGACUUCACGUAAGUGGAGUGGUAGGGGAGCAUUCUGUACGGGUCGAAGUCGGCGGGUGACCGUCGGUGGACUGUACAGAAGAGAGAAUGCUGGCAUGAGUAGCGAGAGAAACGCGAGAAACGUUUCCGCCGUAAGCCUAAGGGUUCCUGGGCAAGGCUAAUCCCCCCAGGGUCAGUCGGGAGCUAAGGCGAGGCCGUAAGGCGUAGUCGAUGCACAACAGGUAGAUAUUCCUGUACCACUGGUAGCGCGCUAAUACCGAUGGGGUGACGGAGAAGGGUAGCUGAGCCGGGCGUUGGUAGUCCCGGUGAAAGGGCGUAGGGAGUGUCGUAGGCAAAUCCGCGACACACAUAUCCUGAGACCUGAUGACGAGCCGAUCGAGGCAGAGUCAGUGAUCCCAUGCUUUCAAGAAAAACCUCUAGGGAGUUCUAUCGGUGCCCGUACCCCAAACCGACACAGGUAGGCAGGUAGAGAAUACCAAGGCGAUCGAGACAACUAUGGUUAAGGAACUCGGCAUAAUGGCUCCGUAACUUCGGGAGAAGGAGCACCCAGGAUGGUGAUCAACUUCGCGUUGUGAGCUUUCUUGGGGCGCAGUGAAACGGCCCAAGCGACUGUUUACUAAAAACACAGGACUCUGCUAAGUCGUAAGACGACGUAUAGGGUCUGACGCCUGCCCGGUGCUGGAAGGUUACGUGGAGGGGU
This 1966-nucleotide ribosomal RNA is filed under the name Caldisericota bacterium. RNAcentral's name for it is "partial 23S ribosomal RNA". It matches the Rfam family "Bacterial large subunit ribosomal RNA", at positions 1 to 1890 of the family's 2925-position model. The record is from RNAcentral. Lineage: Bacteria; Pseudomonadati; Caldisericota.